CAGUAGCCGCGGGAAUACGAAGGGUGCAAGCGUUACUCGGAAUUACUGGGCGUAAAGCGUGCGUAGGUGGUGGUUUAAGUCCGUUGUGAAAGCCCUGGGCUCAACCUGGGAAUUGCAGUGGAUACUGGGUCACUAGAGUGUGGUAGAGGAUAGUGGAAUUUCCGGAGUAGCAGUGAAAUGCGUAGAGAUCGGAAGGAACAUCUGUGGCGAAGGCGACUAUCUGGGCCAACACUGACACUGAGGCACGAAAGCGUGGGGAGCAAACAGGAUUAGAUACCCCCGUAGUCCCUGUCUCUUAUAC
This 301-nucleotide ribosomal RNA is filed under the name uncultured bacterium. Its description in RNAcentral is "partial 16S ribosomal RNA". It matches the Rfam family "Bacterial small subunit ribosomal RNA", at positions 509 to 807 of the family's 1533-position model. The record is from RNAcentral.